Molecule: long non-coding RNA, 600 nt
Filed under: Daucus carota (carrot)
Lineage: Eukaryota; Viridiplantae; Streptophyta; Magnoliopsida; Apiales; Apiaceae
Description: long non-coding RNA (DCAR_LNC002589)
Source: RNAcentral
ACAAUAUUAAGAACAAAAGCGUUGUCUAAGACCUAUACAUAUAAGUAAAUAGUACUCACAAACCAUUGUCUAAAGCACAAUCACUCGAGAAUCUCAAAAUAAAAACUGUUGUAGAAAAUGUUUCACACAAUUGUUCCAACAUAGAAAGUAUUGUUAUAUGGAGGCUUACACAAGUGGUCAUUCCUCCUAGACCAUUGUACAAGAUAGCAAAACACGAGCCCUAAUAACAGAACAAUACUUGUCUAAAGCAAUAUCACUCGAGAAUCUCAAAACAAAAACUGUUGUAGAAAAGGAUUCACACAAUAGUUCUAGUAUAAAAAGUAUUGUGAUAUGGACCCUUACACAAGUGGCCACUUCUGUCGGACCAUUGUACAAGAAAGCAACACACGAGCUGUAGUAACAGAACUAAACUUGUCUGAUACUCUUAUCAACAACUGGGUAAACCCGUGAACUGUUGUGGAUACUCUUAAUAACAACACGAAUUGAAAACAAGUCUGUUGUUGUUAAUGGUUUACAACAACACCUUGUAAAAUGAUUCCGUUGUCGUUCAACGGUUUAACACAACACGCAGUUAAACAUAAACCGAUGUGUUUCUUCAUC